Long non-coding RNA from Prionailurus viverrinus (fishing cat), 569 nucleotides. RefSeq lists it as uncharacterized. The transcript is spliced from 4 exons. The record is from RefSeq and is a predicted model, not a curated record. NCBI's taxonomy places the organism in Eukaryota, Metazoa, Chordata, Mammalia, Carnivora, Felidae.
CAGUGCCUCGGAUCGAUGCAGUUACUUGGCUGUCUCAAAGUUUUCAACACCUAGGAAAAAAACAGUUUCUCUUUCUGGCUUUUAUUCUCGAUAUUCUUUAGCUAAAUUUGUUUCACAAAUUAAAAAGAAGAAGGAGAAGAAGAAGAAGAAAAAGUGAAGAAGCAGUUUCUUGUUCCUGGUUCUAAGGACACUAGAAAGCCUACAUAGAAACCAGGGGACAUUGAUGACUGGAUCUAUGUAAUAAUGGACAAUUCUUUAUGGCCCUAAAGCAUACUAAUCUCACUGCAAGGAAUCAUACGUCCUUGACGAAUGUCACCCGUCCAGUCUGUUGGGAAACUAGUGACAGUGUGGGCAAGGAUAAGACACAAGGGACAUGAACCCUUGCAGCUCUGAGUUCUCAUGUAAGAGCCCAGCUAGCCAUGCUACCAUGCUCGAGACUCUGAGGGAAACUACAAUGAAACAGAGCAAGAUGCCCAAGAAGCCCCAGUUAUGAGGUUCAUAUGUUUCUACAGAAUCCUGAGGUGGUAAUUCAUUAUUUCUAACAUUUGAUUGGCAUCUCAUCUUUUAUA